RNAcentral lists this non-coding RNA (91 nucleotides) under human gut metagenome. Its description in RNAcentral is "THF riboswitch". It matches the Rfam family "THF (Tetrahydrofolate) riboswitch aptamer". From Rfam's summary of the family: THF riboswitch presents a pseudoknot that joins P1-P2 and the loop of P3 and two THF binding. The record is from RNAcentral.
CAGAGUAGGAGCAGCGCGUUAAGUGCCGUGGGAUGGGAAGUUGUCCACGGACGAAACACAGAGUGUGCGGUGCUGUCUCCGCUUCCGCUGC